RNAcentral lists this ribosomal RNA (680 nucleotides) under uncultured Nitrososphaerota archaeon. Its description in RNAcentral is "bacterial SSU rRNA". It matches the Rfam family "Archaeal small subunit ribosomal RNA", at positions 75 to 758 of the family's 1478-position model. Lineage: Archaea; Thermoproteati; Nitrososphaerota. The record is from RNAcentral.
UGUGUGGCAUACGGCUCAGUAACACGUAGUCAACAUGCCCAGGGGACGUGGAUAACCUCGGGAAACUGAGGAUAAACCGCGAUAGGUCACUACUUCUGGAAUGGGUAAUGACCCAAACCUAUAUGGCCCCUGGAUUGGACUGCGGCCGAUCAGGCUGUUGGUGAGGUAAUGGCCCACCAAACCUGUAACCGGUACGGGCUCUGAGAGGAGGAGCCCGGAGAUGGGCACUGAGACAAGGGCCCAGGCCCUAUGGGGCGCAGCAGGCGCGAAACCUCUGCAAUAGGCGAAAGCUUGACAGGGUUACUCUGAGUGAUUUCCGUUAAGGAGAUCUUUUGGCACCUCUAAAAAUGGUGCAGAAUAAGGGGUGGGCAAGUCUGGUGUCAGCCGCCGCGGUAAUACCAGCACCCCGAGUGGUCGGGACGUUUAUUGGGCCUAAAGCAUCCGUAGCCGGUUCUACAAGUCUUCCGUUAAAUCCACCUGCUCAACAGAUGGGCUGCGGAAGAUACUAUGGAGCUAGGAGGCGGGAGAGGCAAGCGGUACUCGAUGGGUAGGGGUAAAAUCCGUUGAUCCAUUGAAGACCACCAGUGGCGAAGGCGGCUUGCCAGAACGCGCUCGACGGUGAGGGAUGAAAGCUGGGGGAGCAAACCGGAUUAGAUACCCGGGUAGUCCCAGCUGUAAAC